Molecule: ribosomal RNA, 231 nt
Filed under: uncultured bacterium
Lineage: Bacteria
Description: partial 16S ribosomal RNA
Rfam family: Bacterial small subunit ribosomal RNA
Source: RNAcentral
AAUCUGCCCUGAAGUGGGGGAUAACCACGCGAAAGCGUGGCUAAUACCGCAUAUCCUCCAUGGGAAACCAUGGAGUAAAGCAGAGGAUCAUUUGGGAAACCAAAUGACUUUGUGCUUUUGGAUGAGCCUACGCCGGAUUAGCUAGUUGGUAGGGUAAAAGCCUACCAAGGCAACGAUCCGUAGCUGGUCUGAGAGGACGACCAGCCACACUGGGACUGAGAUACGGCCCGG